Molecule: transfer RNA, 87 nt
Filed under: Proteus mirabilis
Lineage: Bacteria; Pseudomonadati; Pseudomonadota; Gammaproteobacteria; Enterobacterales; Morganellaceae
Description: tRNA-Leu
Rfam family: tRNA
About the family: Transfer RNA (tRNA) molecules are approximately 80 nucleotides in length.
Source: RNAcentral
GCCCAGGUGGUGAAAUAGGUAGACACAAGGGAUUUAAAAUCCCUCGGCCUUUAGGCUGUGCGGGUUCAAGUCCCGCCCUGGGCACCA